Molecule: ribosomal RNA, 497 nt
Filed under: uncultured bacterium
Lineage: Bacteria
Description: partial 16S ribosomal RNA
Rfam family: Bacterial small subunit ribosomal RNA
Source: RNAcentral
GAUGAACGCCGGCGGCGUGCCUAAUACAUGCAAGUCGAGCGAACAGACGAGGAGCUUGCUCCUCUGACGUUAGCGGCGGACGGGUGAGUAACACGUGGAUAACCUACCUAUAAGACUGGGAUAACUUCGGGAAACCGGAGCUAAUACCGGAUAAUAUAUUAAACCCAUGGGUCCAAUCUUGAAGGACGGUUUUGCGGUCACUAAUGGAUGGAUCCGCACCGCAUUAGUCAGUUGGUAAGGUAACGGCUUACCAAGGCAACGAUGCGUAGCCGACCUGAGAGAGUGAUCGCACACACUGAGUCUGAGACACGGUCCAGACUCCUACAGGAGGCAGCAGUAGGGAAUCUUGCGCAAUGGGCGAAAGCCUGACGGAGCAACGCCGCGUGAGUGAUGAAGGUCUUCGGAUCGUAAAACUCUGUUAUUAGAGAAGAACAAAUGUGUAAGUAACUAUGCACGUCUUGACGGUACCUAAUCAGAAAGCCACGGCUAACUACGUG